This 302-nucleotide long non-coding RNA is filed under the name Prunus persica (peach). Its description in RNAcentral is "long non-coding RNA (PPER_LNC002216)". The record is from RNAcentral. Lineage: Eukaryota; Viridiplantae; Streptophyta; Magnoliopsida; Rosales; Rosaceae.
CUCUUCACUGUUCUUCAAAUUGCAAACUUGUCUUCUUUACUUUCUAGCUUGAGAGAGAUCUUGGAGAAUUUGUACUGCUUGUCGAAGAGAGCAGUUGCCGUGCAUCCCAAGGUUAGUUAAGCAUGUAUUUUUUUCCUUCGUCUUUUCUUCUUGGCGGCUUUGGCGACGACGGUGGUGUUGCGGUGGCAGCAGCUGUAGUGUCUUUUUUUCUUUUCUUUUUUUCUUUCGGCAGGCAAGUUGUCAUCGUGGGGCAUCAUCGGACAACCAAGAAUGAUCACCUUGUUGGAAAGGCCUUCUGUAAC